Molecule: non-coding RNA, 72 nt
Organism: Danio rerio (zebrafish)
Lineage: Eukaryota; Metazoa; Chordata; Actinopteri; Cypriniformes; Danionidae
Source: Rfam
UCCUCGUUAGUAUAGUGGACAGUAUCUCCGCCUGUCACGCGGAAGACUGGGGUUCGAUUCCCUGACGGGGAG